Molecule: long non-coding RNA, 760 nt
Filed under: Phasianus colchicus (ring-necked pheasant)
Lineage: Eukaryota; Metazoa; Chordata; Aves; Galliformes; Phasianidae
Description: lncRNA (ENSPCLG00000010662.1)
Source: RNAcentral
UUCAUGUUUUAGUUGGAAAUUUAAUUAUCUGUGAAAAGAAACUGAAAGAUAUCCCCACAAACAAACAAACAAAAAAAAAACAAACAAAAAAACCAACAACCUAAAAAUAUAUAAGGGUGUGGUUAUAAUGAUUAGUGAAACCUGUGUUGGGUGCCUUAUGUGUUCCUCUUGCUGUGUGGGGUGGGGCCUGGGUACCCCCAUGGUGUACCAGGAUCAUUUCUGAGCCACUGAAGAAAGACAGCUAUGAAAACAGACCAAUGCAAAUAAGUCUGUAUCGGAUGAAAAGUUUCCAUGAAAGAAGUACUAAUGCUGAUUGGAGAAAUAAUGGUAUGAACUCAUGUAGACACUCCUCUCCACUUGCUGAAAACCCUAUCAAAAUCUGAAGCUAUCCAAGAGAAGGCAUUAUAGCCCUCAGGAAAAAGCAGCUCAUUUGAUGCUGGAUGCCUGACCCCUGCUACCAUAAUAGCUGUUAAUGGAAACUUCACCUCCUGCAAGGAUAAGAUGGAUUUUUGGCAGCUGUGAGAGAUUAUGAAGAGCAAGAACAAUCUUAGAUGGAAUCAGAAGAAAAGGAAGCAUAUGUACCUUGAGAAACACUCAGCUGGUUUUUAUUAUACACCAAGCCUAUAUUUAUUACGAUGACUAGCCAAGAGAUAGAAAUUGAUAGAUCUCUGCUCUCUGACCAAGGAGGCUAGUGUCAGCUUGAUAAAUCCUUUCUUUCUUCUAGUUUGUACAUGUACAAGUGACUAGAGCUAUUCAAAAU